This 27-nucleotide non-coding RNA is filed under the name Rattus norvegicus (Norway rat). Lineage: Eukaryota; Metazoa; Chordata; Mammalia; Rodentia; Muridae. The record is from RNAcentral.
UGAGAAUAGGGGAACCGGGGCGUCUGA